CCAGAUCCGGUUGAUUCUGCCGGAGGCCACUGCUAUCGGGAUCCGACUAAGCCAUGCGAGUCAUAGGGCCCGGGGCAACCCGGGUACCUGGCGCACGGCUCAGUAACACGUCGUCAACCUACCUUGGGGAGGGGGAUAACCUCGGGAAACUGAGGACAAUACCCCAUAGGCUGGAGAGGCUGGAAGGCGCUCCAGCCCAAAGGGACCGAAAGGUCCGCCCCAAGAUGGGACGGCGGCCUAUCAGGUAGUUGGUGGUGUAACGGACCACCAAGCCUACGACGGGUACGGGCGAUGGGAGUCGGAGCCCGGAGAUGGGCACUGAGACAAGGGCCCAGGCCCUACGGGGCGCAGCAGGCGCGAAACCUUCGCAAUGGGCGAAAGCCCGACGAGGGGAUCCCGAGUCCCGCUGGUCUCUGACCGGCGGGUUUUCCCGAGUCUAAAAAGCUCGGGGAAUAAGGGGUGGGCAAGGCUGGUGCCAGCCGCCGCGGUAAUACCAGCACCCCGAGUGGUGGCCACGUUUAUUG
Molecule: ribosomal RNA, 524 nt
Filed under: Hadesarchaea archaeon
Lineage: Archaea; Methanobacteriati; Hadarchaeota (SeqCode); Hadarchaeia (SeqCode)
Description: bacterial SSU rRNA
Rfam family: Archaeal small subunit ribosomal RNA
Source: RNAcentral